RNAcentral lists this transfer RNA (63 nucleotides) under Diaclina fagi. Its description in RNAcentral is "tRNA-Arg". The record is from RNAcentral. Lineage: Eukaryota; Metazoa; Arthropoda; Insecta; Coleoptera; Tenebrionidae.
AAAUAAGAAGCAAUUUGUUGCAUUUAGUUUCGACCUAAAAGUCUGGCCUCAAGCCCUUAUUUU